CCUACGGGAGGCAGCAGUGAGGAAUAUUGGUCAAUGGGCGAGAGCCUGAUCCAGCCAAGUCGCGUGAGGGAAGACGGUCCUAUGGAUUGUAAACCUCUUUUGUCGGGGAGCAAAAAGGCCUCGUGAGGCCACAAGUGAGAGUACCCGAAGAAAAAGCAUCGGCUAACUCCGUGCCAGCAGCCGCGGUAAUACGGAGGAUGCGAGCGGUAUUCGGAUGUAUUGGGUUAAAAGGGUGCGUAGGCGGACUGGAAAGUCAGCGGUAAAAUCGAGGGGCCCAACCGCUAUUCGCCGUUGAAACUGUCGGACUUGAGUGGACGAGAGGUAUGCGGAAUGCGUGGUGUAGCGGUGGAAUGCGUAGAUAUAACGCAGAACUCCGGUUGCGAAGGCAGCAUACCGGCGCCCAACUGACGCUGAGGCACGAAAGCAUGGGUAGCGAACAGGAGUAGAUACCCGAGUAGUC
Molecule: ribosomal RNA, 460 nt
Filed under: uncultured bacterium
Lineage: Bacteria
Description: partial 16S ribosomal RNA
Rfam family: Bacterial small subunit ribosomal RNA
Source: RNAcentral